GACAGAGGGUGCAAACGUUGUUCGGAAUUACUGGGCGUAAAGGGCGCGUAGGCGGUUCGUUAAGUCCUGUGUGAAAUCCCCCGGCUCAACUGGGGAACUGCACAGGAAACUAGCGGGCUUGAGUUCGGGAGAGGGAAGCGGAAUUCCGGGUGUAGCGGUGAAAUGCGUAGAUAUCCGGAGGAACACCGGUGGCGAAGGCGGCUUCCUGGACCGACACUGACGCUGAGGCGCGAAAGCUAGGGGAGCAAACGGG
RNAcentral lists this ribosomal RNA (253 nucleotides) under uncultured bacterium. Its description in RNAcentral is "partial 16S ribosomal RNA". It matches the Rfam family "Bacterial small subunit ribosomal RNA", at positions 524 to 776 of the family's 1533-position model. The record is from RNAcentral.